Molecule: ribosomal RNA, 509 nt
Filed under: Marinobacter nauticus
Lineage: Bacteria; Pseudomonadati; Pseudomonadota; Gammaproteobacteria; Pseudomonadales; Marinobacteraceae
Description: bacterial SSU rRNA
Rfam family: Bacterial small subunit ribosomal RNA
Source: RNAcentral
UUAGGAAUCUGCCCAGUAGUGGGGGAUAGCCCGGGGAAACCCGGAUUAAUACCGCAUACGUCCUACGGGAGAAAGCAGGGGAUCUUCGGACCUUGCGCUAUUGGAUGAGCCUAAGUCGGAUUAGCUAGUUGGUGGGGUAAAGGCCUACCAAGGCGACGAUCCGUAGCUGGUCUGAGAGGAUGAUCAGCCACAUCGGGACUGAGACACGGCCCGAACUCCUACGGGAGGCAGCAGUGGGGAAUAUUGGACAAUGGGGGCAACCCUGAUCCAGCCAUGCCGCGUGUGUGAAGGAAGGCUUUCGGGUUGUAAAGCACUUUCAGUAGGGAGGAAAACCUUAUGGCUAAUACCCAUGAGGCUUGACGUUACCUACAGAAAGAAGCACCGGCUAACUCCGUGCCAGCAGCCGCGGUAAUACGGAGGGUGCAAGCGUUAAUCGGAAUUACUGGGCGUAAAGCGCGCGUAGGUGGUUUUGGUAAGCGAGAUGUGAAAAGCCCCCGGGCUUAACCUGG